GGAUAAUUCACCUUCUUCUCCAAAUGCCUGAAAAUGUCAGAUAUUUUUUCUAGUUUAUGGACGAGUGCAUUCUGAUGAAACCUGAAAAAACAGUAACAGAAGAUGAGAACGAAGGUGCCCUCUGGAUCAAAGCAAGGAGAAAUGCCCCCGCGACAAGGAUGACCUCAGCCAAGCAGAAGCAGGUGGGACUGGGGAAGGACACAUCCAACCUGGGCCCCAGGUGUGGCUCUUCCUCUCUGCACUGAAUCAGCACCUGGAGCCUGCAGAGAACUGCCUGGGAAGUGCCAGAAGGUGAAAUUGUGUUAAUCUUGUUAAUUCUGGGCAGUGGGCGGGCUGGGGGCCGGUCACCUCUAUCUGCAGAGCUGUCUGCAGUUUGCUCUGAAGUAACUGCUGUGGAAGAUUGCAGCGUUUGAUUUUGGCGUUCCAGACAGUGCACAGCCUGUCUUUAAGCUGCUUAGCAGAGUUUGGGUUUUGGUUUGGGUUGGUUUGGCUUUUUCCCUUUCCACAUUUCAAGUGGUAGGAAGUUUUGAAGAACAUGAUGCAGAGGGGAGGGGAAAGGCUUUGCUGACACAGACUCAAAACUUCCCUUCCAGAGGUCCAGGGAGAGAGAGCCUCAGGGCUGUGUACUCCCAGGGGAAGGAGGCAGAAAUUUGUCUGUACACACAUCGUAUUUCAAAGUAUCUUCUCAGCCUCAUAAAUAAAAAAUCGUGUAGAUCUGAGCCUUUCUCUUAAAAUGGGACAUCUAAAUCUGGACACUCAAAAUGUAAUUUAAACUUGAAAUCUGAAGAGCAUCCAUAAUCCUACCUAAUUUUAGCCAUUAAACUUGGUCCUACCUGCUUUUCACGUUCAGUGGCCAUUACUGAGUGUACUCGCCUCUGCCGACUAGAGAGCAAGCCUCGGGGUACCCUGCUCCUAACAUCUCCCUGCCGCCAAAAGCAGGUGGCACAGAGCUGGACAGGAGACAUGUGUAUUUCAAGCUUUUAAAAAAGCUUUGUUAACUCCCUGAGGCUGAUGAAAGUAGACUAGUUUCUUUUUUACUUUAACUUUUGCUAAUGACGCUUGUAUAUUUUUGCUCAUUGGUUCCCUUAUUUUGCUUCAGUUCUGCCAGAUGAUUCAUGUCAAAAUCUCAUAAAAACUGGCAGUAAACAACCUACUGUUCAUCAGAGCGAUUCAGUAACUUCUGGGAACAAAUUUCAGAUUGUUUAUUUUCCAG
Molecule: long non-coding RNA, 1213 nt
Filed under: Falco tinnunculus (common kestrel)
Lineage: Eukaryota; Metazoa; Chordata; Aves; Falconiformes; Falconidae
Description: lncRNA (ENSFTIG00000000567.1)
Source: RNAcentral